This 258-nucleotide long non-coding RNA is filed under the name Daucus carota (carrot). RNAcentral describes it as "long non-coding RNA (DCAR_LNC002376)". Lineage: Eukaryota; Viridiplantae; Streptophyta; Magnoliopsida; Apiales; Apiaceae. The record is from RNAcentral.
UCAUGGAAGGCCUUGGUUCUCUCUUUGUAAAUUUUAGCAUUUUCGUAGGCAUCAUUUCUAAGUUCGUCUAACUCGGUCAAUUGUAACUUCCGAUGACUACCGGCGGUGGGUAAGUCGAAGUUCAAUUCUCUAAUGGCCCACAUGGCCCUAUGCUCUAGCUCAACCGGCAAAUGGCAAGCUUUACCAUACACGAGUCUAUAAGGAGACAUUCCUAAGACGGUCUUAAAGGCGGUCCGAUAGGCCCAUAAGGCAUCUAUC